CUGCCUCCUGCGCCUCCGCCGCCGCCGCCUUCUUCGUCUGCUGAGUUCGUAGAUCAGCUCGAGCUCGCCGCCAUGUCGUCCAGCGAGGUCGCCUGCACGCUCGCCGCCCUCAUCCUCCACGACGAUGGCAUCCCCAUCACCUCUGAGAAGAUCGCCACCCUGGUGAAGGCGGCCAACAUCAAGGUCGAGGCCUACUGGCCCGGUCUCUUCGCCAAGCUCCUCGAGCACCGCAGCGUCGAUGACCUCAUCCUCUCCGUCGG
This 260-nucleotide unclassified non-coding RNA is filed under the name Hevea brasiliensis (rubber tree). The record is from RNAcentral. Lineage: Eukaryota; Viridiplantae; Streptophyta; Magnoliopsida; Malpighiales; Euphorbiaceae.